RNAcentral lists this ribosomal RNA (253 nucleotides) under uncultured bacterium. RNAcentral's name for it is "partial 16S ribosomal RNA". It matches the Rfam family "Bacterial small subunit ribosomal RNA", at positions 524 to 776 of the family's 1533-position model. The record is from RNAcentral.
UACGUAGGGUGCAAGCGUUAAUCGGAAUUACUGGGCGUAAAGCGUGCGCAGGCGGUUUUGUAAGUCUGAUGCGAAAUCCCCGGGCUCAACCUGGGAAUUGCAUUGGAGACUGCAAGGCUAGAAUCUGGCAGAGGGGGGUAGAAUUCCACGUGUAGCAGUGAAAUGCGUAGAUAUGUGGAGGAACACCGAUGGCGAAGGCAGCCCCCUGGGUCAAGAUUGACGCUCAUGCACGAAAGCGUGGGGAGCAAACAGG